AUUGAACGCUGGCGGAAUGCUUUACACAUGCAAGUCGAACGGUAGAGGGGGCAACCCCUCGAGAGUGGCGAACGGGUGAGUAAUAUAUCGGAACGUGCCCAGUCGUGGGGGAUAACGUAGCGAAAGUUACGCUAAUACCGCAUACGAUCUAAGGAUGAAAGCGGGGGAUCGCAAGACCUCGCGCGAUUGGAUCGGCCGAUAUCAGAUGAGGUAGUUGGUGGGGUAAAGGCUCACCAAGCCAACGAUCUGUAGCUGGUCUGAGAGGACGACCAGCCACACUGGAACUGAGACACGGUCCAGACUCCUACGGGAGGCAGCAGUGGGGAAUUUUGGACAAUGGACGCAAGUCUGAUCCAGCCAUUCCGCGUGCAGGAUGAAGGCCCUCGGGUUGUAAACUGCUUUUGUACGGAACGAAAAGGUCUCUCUUAAUACGGGGGGCUCAUGACGGUACCGUAAGAAUAAGCACCGGCUAACUACGUGCCAGCCGCCGCGGUAA
This 496-nucleotide ribosomal RNA is filed under the name uncultured bacterium. RNAcentral describes it as "partial 16S ribosomal RNA". It matches the Rfam family "Bacterial small subunit ribosomal RNA", at positions 30 to 523 of the family's 1533-position model. The record is from RNAcentral.